Molecule: unclassified non-coding RNA, 151 nt
Filed under: Lecania naegelii
Lineage: Eukaryota; Fungi; Ascomycota; Lecanoromycetes; Lecanorales; Ramalinaceae
Description: partial internal transcribed spacer 2
Source: RNAcentral
CACCCCUCAAGCGUAGCUUGGUAUUGGGCCCUCGCCCCCUGGGCGUCCCCGAAAGUCAUGGGCGGUCCGGAGUGACUUUAAGCGUAGUAAAUUACCUCCCGCUUUGAAAGCUCGCCCCGCGGCCGGCCCGAAAACCCCAUAAUCUAUCAAC